Molecule: ribosomal RNA, 444 nt
Filed under: uncultured bacterium
Lineage: Bacteria
Description: bacterial SSU rRNA
Rfam family: Bacterial small subunit ribosomal RNA
Source: RNAcentral
AACGAACGCUGGCGGCAGGCCUAACACAUGCAAGUCGAAGGAGAAGCCAUCUUCGGAUGGUGGAAACUGGCGCACGGGUGAGUAACGCGUGGGAAUAUACCCUUUGGUACGGAAUAGCCUCUGGAAACGGAGAGUAAUACCGUAUGAGCCCUUCGGGGGAAAGAUUUAUCGCCAUUGGAUGAGCCCGCGUUGGAUUAGCUUGUUGGUGGGGUAACGGCCCACCAAGGCGACGAUCCAUAGCUGGUCUGAGAGGAUGAUCAGCCACACUGGGACUGAGACACGGCCCAGACUCCUACGGGAGGCAGCAGUGGGGAAUAUUGGACAAUGGGGGCAACCCUGAUCCAGCCAUGCCGACGUGAGUGACGAAGGUCUUCGGAUUGUAAAGCUCUUUUGGCGGGGACGAUAAUGACGGUACCCGCAGAAUAAGCCCCGGCUAACUUCGUG